This 497-nucleotide ribosomal RNA is filed under the name uncultured bacterium. RNAcentral describes it as "partial 16S ribosomal RNA". It matches the Rfam family "Bacterial small subunit ribosomal RNA", at positions 28 to 507 of the family's 1533-position model. The record is from RNAcentral.
GAUGAACGCUGGCGGCGUGCCUAAUACAUGCAAGUCGAGCGAACAGACGAGGAGCUUGCUCCUCUGACGUUAGCGGCGGACGGGUGAGUAACACGUGGAUAACCUACCUAUAAGACUGGGAUAACUUCGGGAAACCGGCGCUAAUACCGGAUAAUAUAUUGAACCGUAUGGUUCAAUAGUGAAAGACGGUUUUGCUGUCACUUAUAGAUGGAUCCGCGCUGCAUUAGCUAGUUGGUAAGGUAACGGCUUACCAAGGCAACGAUGCGUAGCCGACCUGAGAGGGUGAUCGGCCACACUGGAACUGAGACACGGUCCAGACUCCUACGGGAGGCAGCAGUAGGGAAUCUUCCGCAAUGGGCGAGAGCUUGACGGAGCAACGCCGAGUGAGUGAUGAAGGUCUUCGGAUCGUAAAACUCUGUUAUUAGGGAAGAACAAAUGUGUAAGUAACUAUGCACGUCUUGACGGUACCUAAUCAGAAAGCCACGGCUAACUACGUG